AGUCGAGAAUCUUCGGCAAUGGGCGCAAGCCUGACCGAGCGACGCCGCGUGUGGGAUGAAGGCCUUCGGGUUGUAAACCGCUGUCAGAGGGGAGGAAUGGGCGGAGGGUAAUCUCUUCGUUUUGACCUAUCCUCAGAGGAAGUACGGGCUAAGUUCGUGCCAGCAGCCGCGGUAAGACGAACCGUACGAACGUUAUUCGGAAUCACUGGGCUUAAAGGGUGCGUAGGCGGCGAUGAAAGUUGGGUGUGAAAUCCCUCGGCUCAACCGAGGAACUGCGCCCAAAACUACAUUGCUUGAGGGAGAUAGAGGUGAGCGGAACUUAGGGUGGAGCGGUGAAAUGCGUUGAUAUCCUAAGGAACGCCAGGGGCGAAAGCGGCUCACUGGAUCUCUUCUGACGCUGAGGCACGAAAGCUAGGGUAGCGAA
Molecule: ribosomal RNA, 424 nt
Filed under: uncultured Planctomycetaceae bacterium
Lineage: Bacteria; Pseudomonadati; Planctomycetota; Planctomycetia; Planctomycetales; Planctomycetaceae
Description: bacterial SSU rRNA
Rfam family: Bacterial small subunit ribosomal RNA
Source: RNAcentral